GCUUGUUAACACGCGCAAUUAACAUCACAAUAUUAUUAUAAGUUAUUUAGGUUGAUCCUUAGUAAUUAAACAUUAAACUCGUAUUCUUGAGGAAGGGCUCUAAACGAUGUUUAAACAAUAAUUACAUAAAUGAUAAAUAUUGGAAAAUCUAAAGAAAAAACAAAACGAAAUUAAUAAUAAUGAAAUAAUGAUUUUGUUACAACUGCGGUGAGCCGUUUUAAGUUUUUUUUACGGUGCAAAAUAAUAUUUUAAUCCAGAUAAGCGAAUUUACGGUACUGUGAAAUAAAUAAUUUUGUUAUUUAUUGAUUUUAUUAUAUUAAAGGAACGACAAAUGAAAUAAUAAUUGUUUGACUACAAUCAAGUUCAUAACGACCACAAAUCGUGGCUCCACUCUUGAUUAUCCAUUUAGAAUUUUAAAAUAUAGUAUCUAUAUAAUAUAAUCAUUUCUUCUACCCGUCAACAUUUUUCGAAUACCGGUGAAUUCGCCAUAGGAGUCUACUUAUGCAUUAAUUUAUCAUUUUAUAAUUGUUUUCGGCAGACAGUGUUGUAUAGAGAUAGUCUUCUACAAAAUGUAUUUAUUUAUUUCGACAAAAAUAAAUGCUCGAAUAAUUAGAAAUACCUGUACUAUUAAUAAAAGGUAAUCAACUAGAUGAGGAUAAAACAUUUACGACAUUUAACAUUUUAAACAUUUAAAUUAUUUAUAUAACAAUACAUAAUUAGUAUAUAUUUAAAAAAAAAGAUGAUUAUUCCGUUGUCUAUCGAAAAACAUAUGGAAAACUAAGAACGGGAUGUGAACAUGUGGUACAUACUACUUUAUACAUGUAGUUUUUUAACAGGAUUUGUGUUUUAUAAAGGUAACCUAAUAAUAUUAACUUAUGAACCGUAUAACUAAACUUAGUAUUUUUAAAUAUAAAUUCCAAUUUUAAAAAAUUGUCACUACAGAUAAAUUUAUUAAUUGGAAGAUUUCUUUAUUUCAUACAGUUGUUCAAAUACUUCAGGGAUAUUAAAUGUAUCUGUAAAAGAUAAAAUAUAAUAAUAUUGUAUGAUAAAAUACAUUUCUG
Cinara cedri is the source of this 1061-nucleotide non-coding RNA. The record is from the annotation of a GenBank genome assembly. NCBI's taxonomy places the organism in Eukaryota, Metazoa, Arthropoda, Insecta, Hemiptera, Aphididae.